RNAcentral lists this ribosomal RNA (495 nucleotides) under uncultured bacterium. Its description in RNAcentral is "partial 16S ribosomal RNA". It matches the Rfam family "Bacterial small subunit ribosomal RNA", at positions 28 to 507 of the family's 1533-position model. The record is from RNAcentral.
GACGAACGCUGGCGGCGUGCCUAAUACAUGCAAGUAGAACGCUGAAGGAGGAGCUUGCUCUUCUGGAUGAGUUGCGAACGGGUGAGUAACGCGUAGGUAACCUGCCUGGUAGCGGGGGAUAACUAUUGGAAACGAUAGCUAAUACCGCAUAACAGUAGAUGUUGCAUGACAUUUACUUAAAAGGUGCAAUUGCAUCACUACCAGAUGGACCUGCGUUGUAUUAGCUAGUUGGUGGGGUAACGGCUCACCAAGGCGACGAUACAUAGCCGACCUGAGAGGGUGAUCGGCCACACUGGGACUGGGACACGGCCCAGACUCCUACGGGAGGCAGCAGUAGGGAAUCUUCGGCAAUGGACGGAAGUCUGACCGAGCAACGCCGCGUGAGUGAAGAAGGUUUUCGGAUCGUAAAGCUCUGUUAUAAGAGAAGAACGAGUGUGAGAGUGGAAAGUUCACACUGUGACGGUAUCUUACCAGAAAGGGACGGCUAACUACGUG